ACGCAAUGCUUCCAUGCGAAAGCUCUGUAUCGCGGUCGUGUUAUGUCUUUUGUUCAUGACCGUUGAAGUUUUUGGCGGGAUCAAAGCUAAUAGCUUGGCUAUACUAACCGAUGCAGCUCACCUUCUCUCUGACGUUGCUGCCUUUGCCAUCUCCUUGUUCUCCUUGUGGGCUGCUGGCUGGGAAGCCACUCCUAGGCAGACGUAUGGGUUUUUCAGGAUUGAGAUCCUCGGAGCUCUUGUCUCUAUCCAGCUCAUUUGGUUGCUCACUGGUAUUCUCGUCUACGAAGCCAUUAUCAGACUUCUUACCGAGACCACUGAGGUUAAUGGAUUCCUUAUGUUCCUUGUUGCUGCGUUUGGGCUGCUUGUGAAUAUCAUAAUGGCUGUUCUGCUCGGGCAUGAUCACGGUCAUGGACAUGGUCAUGACCAUCACAACCACGGUGGGGUGACUGUUACCACUCAUCACCAUCAUGAUCAUGGUCAUACUCAUGGAGAGGACAAGCACCACCACGCUCAUGGUGAUGUUACUGAGAAGUUACUCGACAAAUCGAAGCCGGAUAAAGAGAAGAGAAAGAGGAACAUCAAUGUCCAAGGAGCUUAUCUUCAUGUCCUUGGGGACUCCAUCCAGAGCGUUGGUGUUAUGAUCGGAGGAGCCAUCAUCUGGUACAACCCGGAAUGGAAAAUAGUAGACCUGAUCUGCACUCUUGUCUUCUCGGUUAUUGUCUUGGGAACAACCAUCAACAUGAUUCGAAGCAUUCUUGAAGUGUUGAUGGAGAGUACACCGAGAGAGAUUGAUGCUACAAAACUGGAAGAGGGUUUGGUGGAAUUGUCUUGGGAACAACCAUCAACAUGAUUCGAAGCAUUCUUGAAGUGUUGAUGGAGAGUACACCGAGAGAGAUUGAUGCUACAAAACUGGAAGAGGGUUUGGUGGAAAUGGAAGAAGUGGUGGCUGUUCAUGAGCUUCACAUUUGGGCUAUCACAGUGGGAAAAGUGCUGCUCGCUUGCCAUGUCAAUAUCAGACCAGAAGCAGAUGCAGAUAUGGUGCUCAACAAGGUCAUUGAUUACAUCCGCAGGGAGUACAAUAUUAGUCAUGUCACAAUACAAAUUGAGCGCUAAGAGCAAACCAAACAUGUGAAGGAAUAUUCUGUAUCAGCUUUCUCAUUAACAACCAUUAAAUCAAUAGUUUCCAAUCUUUUUCACAUUCUCGAGUGUUAUAUGUCAUCUUCUUUUGGUUUAGCUUAAGUAAACACAAAAAAAUCUAUCCAAUGAGAACCCGAAGAUCGCCACGUUAGCAUUAUCCUAUCUUGACACUUGUUCUCCAUUAAUCUAAAAAAAAUGGCUCUAUAUAAAUAUUGGAGAUUGUUAUAAUCGAGGUAAGAUUAUUUAUACAUUGUAUAAAAGUUAGUUCAAAUACUUGUGGAGAUUCUAUUUAGAAUGUAAUAUGUUAAGAGCAAUUUUCGAAUUGUGAUAUACUGAAAAUAACAAUAAACUCAAUAAUAGUUUUAUUUAAAUUUAAUCAUCAAUUUCCAUUAAACAUAAUUGGUUGUACAUGAUAUUCGUAUGUAGCUGGUAAAAUAUGUAAGAAUUUAUUAAUAAUGCAAUCUUUUGGAAUAUGAAUGACUAUUACUGAACAAUGACUGUAUAUGUUGAGACAAGUUUGUAUAGAACGAAUAUUUCAGAUGUCAUGAAUCCUACUACUGAACUUAUAUAUAUGUUAUCCAAUUUUAGAAUACAAAAGGGGAUCGAUUGCCGAAUUCAUAAGUAUGUCUCUCUAUUUAUAAAUGUGGUUCCUAUAUUUAGUCUCAGUCUCUCUGUCAAAAAUAUUAAAAUUAGUUAAAUGUAAUGGUCUAGUGACUUUUUGUAAGUAGAUAUGAAAAUGUUUAUGUUUUAAUAGUAUAGAUAUAUAGAUAAAAUGCAAAAUAACAUGGGAAAAAUGAAUCUCUUUGUGGAUCAUCUGAGAAUUUGUCUCGAUAUCUACUGCUUACUGUUCGUAAAUGUGAAACCAUAUAGUUUUUUUUUUUGGGUCAAACGUGAAACCAUAUAGUUUUUCUACCUUCUUUGCGUUUAGUCUAGGAGUUGGACAGAUCACAGACAAUAGUCUAGCAAUACACAAUGAGGGACUUUUCCUUGGAACUUGCCCCACAAGGCGACAAUAAUUCCAUGACCGCGCCAGCAUAACACAAGACCAUUGUAAGGCCCAUGAUGCCAAAUAACUGAUAACAGUUGCUACCAGCUGAGUUAUGUAUAUGAUUGUCAUUGUUGCCAAACAUCCCUGUAAUGCGAGCAUCGUAACAGGAGUCCCCGUGAGUUCCUUUCUCAAGUCGUUUCGUUGCGAAUAGAAGGAGAAACCUUUAGAUCUGACAGUGACAUUCCGUAAUUUUUAAUCUUUGUUUCGUAAAUAAAAUACAAAUCUUAUUUUUUUUUCUACAUUGUGUAUUUUUUUCUUUCUAUUAGUACACGGAUUAUCAAGUAUACAUAAUAUCGAUGGAAACUUUAUACAAUAAAAAACGUUGGAUUAAAACAAGAGAUUAGCGUUUUGGAGUAAAAAUAGGAGAGCUCGAGGUCCAAUGGUGCGAUGUGUUAGCUGUUCAACGGACCAUUAGUCUCCUAUUCCCCAACUUCCAUAAUCUCCCUCCUUCGCAUCUUCACCCUCCAUUUUCAACCUAUAUCCUUACGAUCUCGACACCUGACGUUUUUGUUGAUUCACACACGUAUGUCACAAUUCUCAAUUCUCAUAUUUUCACAAUUCUCAAUAUUUUCACAGUUCUCUAAAUAUUAGUAUUAUAUUUUCAAGUCCCACGAAUGUAGCUUUUGAUGCAUUAAUACAAAGUCUUAAUAUUCUUUUAAACAUCUUUACUCAUCGAUUAUUCUCUGAAAAAUGUGUCCUCUGUUUCUCCCUUCUUCGUCUUCCUCCUCUGCUCUGUUUCUACUUCUUCUCCUCCUCCUCACUCUCCAAACCCUAAUUCCCUUUCCACCUCUCUUCCUUCUCCUCCCCCGUUGCUUUUCGACUUACUUGCGCAAACUCAUCAACUCUGUUUCUCCACAUAAACCACCAAACCUACCGAGUCAUCGAGUUCUUCACAGACGGUCUCCUCGUAGACUUCCCUUCCUCUCCGUGUCGCCAAUUCAACGAUUUACGCUCUUGUUGCUGCGUUUGGGCUGCUUGUGAAUAUCAUAAUGGCUGUUCUGCUCGGGCAUGAUCACGGUCAUGGGCAUGGGCAUGACCAUCACAACCACGGUAAUUACUGGUUUUAGAUUACGUCAACUUUGCAACAUGCUCAAAAAUAUUGACACGAUUCUCAACCAUUUUUAUUGGUAUUUAAGUAUAGUCCAAUAAUUAUGUGUGUUAAAUAAACCGAGAAUAUUUGUUUUAUAUUUAUUUUAUUUUGCUUUAUAUUAGUCAAAGAAAAUAAGUCUAGGUAAAACAUAUGUAUCCAAUGAACCAAACUGAACUAGAUUUGAAAGCAAUGUUAAACACAAACUAAACUGAUUAAGUACUCUAAACGUUUAAUAUCCAGAUAACCAGAUCUGAAUCUGAUCGAAACUAAAAUAUUGUGGAUACCAAAAAUAUUUGAAUCAUAAUUAUAUAUUUAAUAUGUUAAUUAUUUUAAAUUUUACAUCUACUAGAUAUUCAAAAAUAUGAAAAUAUCUAAAAAUUAUCAAAAUAGUCGCAAGUAAAUAUCUAAAAAUAACAAAAAAUAUUCAAAAUACUGAAAAUAUUUAUUUGUUCUCCAUCCAAAUAUUUAAAUUGAACUAAUUUUAUGUUUUAUAAUAUUUUAUUUUAAUAUUAUGUAUAUUAUAUUUUUGUUAAAAAAAAAUAAUUAAAAUGGAUAUCCGAACUCAAAUCCGAACCAAACCCGCAAUGCUUCGAACGAAAUCCAAACCACAAUUUGUAAAUAUUCGAAUACGAUUUAAAUUUUUAACCUUAAAAAUCUGAAAUCUGAAUAGAUUAACUGAAUCCAAACAGAUAUAUGAAUGCUCAUCCCAAGAAAAAACUAUACAACAAAUCUUUUAGUACAUCAUACAAUAAAUAAUCUAAUAAACAAUUUUACUGCACGCUUAGCAUGGAUUACUACCUACUGAGCUGGAAAAUAUUCAAACUCUUUGGUUGUUUUUUUUGGACUUCAAUAUCACCUACUUUCCAUGGACGCAAAAUGAGAUUGCGGAUUCGUUAACUAGAAAUGCACGUUCUUGUCAUAGAUCCUUAUGCUUUAUUGGUUAUUCUAUUCCGGUCUAGCUCCCGAGACCACCUCAAGUUUGAGUAAUAGAAUAGUCGUGCAGUGAAAAAAAAAGAUGGAUUACUACCUAGUAAAAUUCUUUAUUAAAUACAACUUGUUUUAAAAAGCAACGAAGAAAUUAAUGAUGAAAAAACGUAGUUGGAAAAGAAAUACGUAUUUAACAAUCCCCAAUUCAAACAAAUAACAUUUCAAGUAUCUUCACUUUAAUUUCAGAAUUGUUUUUAGGUAAACUGUUAAAUUUAAUAUCAGAAUUGAUUGCAUAUAUCUAUCAGAGAAAUACGUUUCUAUGAGUUAAAAAGAAGCAAUUAAGCAUUAAAUUAAGCAUUAAAUGAUGGCAUGAAUUUCUAACAAAUCCAAAUGGAAGCAACCAACUUUUUAGGUAUUACUUGUUGAUUACUGGUUGGAGAACAUUAAUUUAAAAUCAUUAAAUUUUAUCCAACGACUUCAAGAGAUUAUCAAGAGAGAGUUAGGGUAUGACUGGUUUUCCCGCUACCACCCGCAAACGCAGCUUUUGCGGUUGGUAGCGGUUGCUGGCGUUUUGCACCAAUCGUUCAAACCGCUCUAAACCGCUCCAAAUCGCUCCAAAUCGCUCUGAACCUCAUAAAUUCAAAAGCUGGUUCCAGCUAGCGUUUGCGGUUGCGGACGUUUGCGGGAGGAUAAAUUUUUUUUUUUUUUUUCCAAAACAAUAUAAAUACAAAAAUAAAAAUAUUCAAUAAAAAAUUAAAUUAGAAUUAUAAAAAUGCUAAAAUAUAUCUAUUAUAUUUUAAUUAAUAUUAUAAAACUUUAAAAUAAAAAUAUUUUCUAUAAUUUUUAAAAAAUUUAAAGUAUAACUUUCUAAAUAUAACUUUUAUAUUUAUUAUAAUAUUAUUAUUUUUGAUAUUUUUAUUAUUGUAUAAAAUGAAAAUAUUGUUAAUUUAUUAUUUAACCGCUGCUGCAUUUAGUAGUUAACCUGUCAUAAGUAUCUCGCAAACGCACCAAUUUCUAACCGUUAGAAACCACAACCACCCGCAUCUGCAAUCUUCCGUAACCGCAACCGCUGCGGUUGAACCAGUCAGACCUUUAGUGUCUAGUUGGUCUAAACCCCGAGAACCUAAGGAAACUUCCCUUGAAGUUUGUUUAUUUCGUUGGUUUUAUGAUAGACUUAUUAAUUUAUUUUUAUUCUUAGUGUUAUCUUGUCAGCUAAUGUUUGUCGCAUUUGUAUAUAGUUCAACUCUACGAAUCAUCCAGCUACGUCAAACCCGUGCCUCCAUAUUUGUUUUCUUUGUUCAUCUUGACAAGUAAUUUCUAAUUUGUAAGCGGAAUAUUAAAAAGUUAGGUAUUUUAAUUCUGACAAGAAAAGACAAUGGAUAAAACCCCAAACCAAUCAUUUUAGUAAGCCGCUUAAUAUACCCAAUCAUACAAUCAAACCAAACCAGGGCUGGGUUAAUUAAUACGGGUCAGUAGAUAUCGCCACGUGUAUUGAAUGUUGACCGUCGAAGGCAAAACAAAACCAAAAGAGAUGGGAGAUCUGAAAGGCAGAAAAAAGGAAGGUGGAUCUCGUGAGAUUGGUGGCGCCUCCUGAUAUAUAUACUCUAUAAAAAAGACAUAACUCCUCCUUUCCUGGUGAGCACAGGCACGACGACACGAGGCUCUUCUUCUUUUUGUAAAUAAAUAACCCAACCACCACCCACCUUGAAUCUCUCAGCUCUCUUCUUCUGGUAAUUUAGCUUCUUCUUUUCAAUCAGCCUUUGCCGUUGCAUCUCUUGUAGCUCUUAAUAUAUCUCUUAAAUUGUACUGUAGUAUUUAAUAGGGUUUUUAUGGAUGGUUUUCUAGAUUGUGACAUAUGAAUUGGUUCUGUCUGAUUGUGACACUUUGAUGUCUUUUUCUGUAUCUCGUAAAUUGUACUGUAGUAUUUAAUAGGGUCUUGACUCUGGUAAUGAUGAUAAUUAUUUUGUUAUCGUUGACUACAGACUAGCUUGUUUUUAUAUAUAAAAUAUAUAUUCUUUCGUAUGUGUUUUUGCUUGAAGAUUCUGCUUCUUAUUUCUCCCACUACUAGACUAGUAGUAGGAUACAUGUUCUCGUUGUCUGAUUUGACUUUUGAUGAUAAUAAAGUUGCUUUUUUUUUUGUAGAUAGAGAUUGUCAUCUCCUUUUUCUUCUUCUUUUCAGAUGGCGUCCUCAAGCCCUCAACAUAGUCACAUCAUUGAGGUUAAUAUAGCAAAACCUGAUGAACAGAGAACAACACUUGGGGCAAGUAAAGCCUGUGGAGAAGCACCUUGUGGGUUCUCAGAUCUCAACAAUGCUUCUGGUGAUGCACAUGAACGCAAUGCUUCCAUGCGAAAGCUCUGUAUCGCGGUCGUGUUAUGUCUUUUGUUCAUGACCGUUGAAGUUUUUGGCGGGAUCAAAGCUAAUAGCUUGGCUAUACUAACCGAUGCAGCUCACCUUCUCUCUGACGUUGCUGCCUUUGCCAUCUCCUUGUUCUCCUUGUGGGCUGCUGGCUGGGAAGCCACUCCUAGGCAGACGUAUGGGUUUUUCAGGAUUGAGAUCCUCGGAGCUCUUGUCUCU
RNAcentral lists this long non-coding RNA (6777 nucleotides) under Brassica napus (rape). Its description in RNAcentral is "long non-coding RNA (BNAP_LNC002329)". Lineage: Eukaryota; Viridiplantae; Streptophyta; Magnoliopsida; Brassicales; Brassicaceae. The record is from RNAcentral.